UACGGGGGGAGCAAGCGUUGUUCGGAUUUACUGGGCGUAAAGGGCGCGUAGGCGGCCACCGCAAGUCGACUGUGAAAUCUCCGGGCUUAACCCGGAAAGGUCAGCCGAUACUGCGGGGCUAGAGUGCAGAAGGGGCAACUGGAAUUCUCGGUGUAGCGGUGAAAUGCGUAGAUAUCGAGAGGAACACCUGCGGCGAAGGCGGGUUGCUGGGCUGACACGUUGACGCUGGAGGCGCGAAAGCUAGGGGAGCGAACGGG
RNAcentral lists this ribosomal RNA (257 nucleotides) under uncultured bacterium. Its description in RNAcentral is "partial 16S ribosomal RNA". It matches the Rfam family "Bacterial small subunit ribosomal RNA", at positions 524 to 776 of the family's 1533-position model. The record is from RNAcentral.